GACGAACGCUGGCGGCGUGCCUAAUACAUGCAAGUAGAACGCUGAAGGAGGAGCUUGCUCUUCUGGAUGAGUUGCGAACGGGUGAGUAACGCGUAGGUAACCUGCCUGGUAGCGGGGGAUAACUAUUGGAAACGAUAGCUAAUACCGCAUAACAGUAGACGUUGCAUGACAUUUACUUAAAAGGUGCAAUUGCAUCACUACCAGAUGGACCUGCGUUGUAUUAGCUAGUUGGUGGGGUAACGGCUCACCAAGGCGACGAUACAUAGCCGACCUGAGAGGGUGAUCGGCCACACUGGGACUGAGACACGGCCCAGACUCCUACGGGAGGCAGCAGUAGGGAAUCUUCGGCAAUGGACGGAAGUCUGACCGAGCAACGCCGCGUGAGUGAAGAAGGUUUUCGGAUCGUAAAGCUCUGUUGUAAGAGAAGAACGAGUGUGAGAGUGGAAAGUUCACACUGUGACGGUAUCUUACCAGAAAGGGACGGCUAACUACGUG
Molecule: ribosomal RNA, 495 nt
Filed under: uncultured bacterium
Lineage: Bacteria
Description: partial 16S ribosomal RNA
Rfam family: Bacterial small subunit ribosomal RNA
Source: RNAcentral